This 253-nucleotide ribosomal RNA is filed under the name uncultured bacterium. Its description in RNAcentral is "partial 16S ribosomal RNA". It matches the Rfam family "Bacterial small subunit ribosomal RNA", at positions 524 to 776 of the family's 1533-position model. The record is from RNAcentral.
UACGUAGGGUGCGAGCGUUGUCCGGAAUUAUUGGGCGUAAGGAGCUCGUAGGCGGUUUGUCGCGUCGGCCGUGAAAACUUGGGGCUUAACCCCGAGCCUGCGGUCGAUACGGGCAGACUUGAGUUCGGCAGGGGAGACUGGAAUUCCUGGUGUAGCGGUGAAAUGCGCAGAUGUCAGGAGGAACACCGAUGGCGAAGGCAGGUCUCUGGGCCACUACUGACGCUGAGAAGCGAAAGCAUGGGGAGCGAACAGG